UGGGGAAUAUUGCGCAAUGGGGGAAACCCUGACGCAGCGACGCCGCGUUCGGGAUGAAGGCCUUCGGGUUGUAAACCGCUUUUGAUUGGGAGCAAGCUUUCGGGUGAGUGUACCUUUCGAAUAAGCGCCGGCUAACUACGUGCCAGCAGCCGCGGUAAUACGUAGGGCGCAAGCGUUAUCCGGAAUUAUUGGGCGUAAAGAGCUUGUAGGCGGUUCGUCGCGUCUGGUGUGAAAGCCCAUCGCUUAACGGUGGGUUUGCGCCGGGUACGGGCGGGCUAGAGUGCAGUAGGGGAGACUGGAAUUCCCGGUGUAACGGUGGAAUGUGUAGAUAUCGGGAAGAACACCAAUGGCGAAGGCAGGUCUCUGGGCUGUUACUGACGCUGAGAAGCGAAAGCGUGGGGAGCGAACAGG
RNAcentral lists this ribosomal RNA (411 nucleotides) under Verrucomicrobiota bacterium. Its description in RNAcentral is "Verrucomicrobia bacterium partial 16S ribosomal RNA". It matches the Rfam family "Bacterial small subunit ribosomal RNA", at positions 355 to 776 of the family's 1533-position model. The record is from RNAcentral. Lineage: Bacteria; Pseudomonadati; Verrucomicrobiota.